RNAcentral lists this ribosomal RNA (431 nucleotides) under uncultured bacterium. Its description in RNAcentral is "partial 16S ribosomal RNA". It matches the Rfam family "Bacterial small subunit ribosomal RNA", at positions 29 to 507 of the family's 1533-position model. The record is from RNAcentral.
AACGAACGCUGGCGGCAGGCUUAACACAUGCAAGUCGAACGCCCCGCAAGGGGAGUGGCAGACGGGUGAGUAACGCGUGGGAACAUACCCUUUCCUGCGGAAUAGUUCCGGGAAACUGGAAUUAAUACCGCAUACGCCCUACGGGGGAAAGAUUUAUCGGGGAAGGAUUGGCCCGCGUUGGAUUAGCUAGUUGGUGGGGUAAAGGCCUACCAAGGCGACGAUCCAUAGCUGGUCUGAGAGGAUGAUCAGCCACAUUGGGACUGAGACACGGCCCAAACUCCUACGGGAGGCAGCAGUGGGGAAUAUUGGACAAUGGGCGCAAGCCUGAUCCAGCCAUGCCGCGUGAGUGAUGAAGGCCUUAGGGUUGUAAAGCUCUUUCACCGAUGAAGAUAAUGACGGUAGUCGGAGAAGAAGCCCCGGCUAACUUCGUG